This 253-nucleotide ribosomal RNA is filed under the name uncultured bacterium. RNAcentral's name for it is "partial 16S ribosomal RNA". It matches the Rfam family "Bacterial small subunit ribosomal RNA", at positions 524 to 776 of the family's 1533-position model. The record is from RNAcentral.
UACGGAGGGGGCUAGCGUUGUUCGGAAUUACUGGGCGUAAAGCGCGCGUAGGCGGAUCUGCAAGUCGGGGGUGAAAUCCCGAGGCUCAACCUCGGAACUGCCUUCGAUACUGCGGGUCUCGAGUCCGGGAGAGGUGAGUGGAAUUCCUAGUGUAGAGGUGAAAUUCGUAGAUAUUAGGAAGAACACCAGUGGCGAAGGCGGCUCACUGGCCCGGUACUGACGCUGAGGCGCGAAAGCGUGGGGAGCAAACGGG